This 1320-nucleotide long non-coding RNA is filed under the name Callithrix jacchus (white-tufted-ear marmoset). Its description in RNAcentral is "lncRNA (ENSCJAG00000084138.1)". The record is from RNAcentral. Lineage: Eukaryota; Metazoa; Chordata; Mammalia; Primates; Cebidae.
AUGAGGAAAGGAUGUGCCUUUGUUUUUCUCUCACCUUCUGCCAUGAUUGUGAGGCCUCCCCAGCCAUGUGAAACUGUGAGUUCAUUAAACCUCCUUUUCUUUAUGACUGACCCAGUCUCAGGUAUCUCUUUAUCAGUGGAUAAAAAUGGACUAAGUGCCUACCUGUCUGGGCAAGAGGCCAGCUCUGUACAAGGUGAGGGAAAUGACAACUCACUAUGUGGGGAUAAAGUAAUGACCUUUGAAUCACUUUCUUGUGCUUUGCACUGAGACCUGCUCACUGUAUGAAUCUAUAGAUAAUAUAAAUAUAUGCAUAUAUGUUACAUAAAAGCUCUGAGCUUCACUUUUUAGUUGUCUGAGCAUGAAUGUGACAAGUCAGUUGAGCUGCUCUGCAGUAAGGAUGAAAGGAUAAAAUUAGAACCAAUUAAAGUUACUUGAUGAAACAUCUCAGAAGCACCAUAGAAAAAUUCAAUGUUAAGUCAUGGGGUGACCUGACACUUGAAGCCUUGCUGUCUCAUCCCUAGUGCAGAGAGAAUAAAAGUGCUGGAGCUCUAAGGCCUGAGAGGUUGGUGGCCAGCUUGAGUGUAGUGACCCUAGGAGAAAGGAGAGGUCAGCGAAGGUGGAUGGGGAAGUCUCUUUUGGGUAACCCCUCCUGUGCUUUGAUACUUUUCCCAGAAGUUGCCAGGGCUUACCUUUGGGGUACAUCACCGAAAAUAUUGUUCCUAGAAGUUGGAGUAUUAGAUCAAAUACCCAAGCCAGGAGAUGUGAUUUUGGGUACUGGCUGAACUACUGAGUCAGGGACAACUCCUGGUAAACUCACCGAACAUCUCUGCCUGGAGUUCCCUCAUUUGGAAAAGCAGGAUUCAGAUGUCUCAGUUACUCUCCUCCUGAAUUAUGGGCAAGCUUUAACUGCUUAAUCCAUUUUUUUUUUUUUUUGAGACGGUCUUGCUCUGUUGCCCAGGCUGAAGUACAGUGGCAUGAUCUUGGCUCACUGCAACCUCCGCCUCCUGGAUUCAAGCGAUUCUCAUUUCUCAACCUCUCAAGUAGCUGGGACUACAGGCAUGUGCCACCACACCUGGCUAAUUUUUGUGUUUUUAGUAGAGAUGGGGUUUCACCAUGUUGUCCAGUCUAGUCUGGAACUCCUGACCUCUGGUGAUCCACCUGCCUCAGCUUCCCAAAGUUCUGGGGUUACAGGCCCUGAGCCACCUCGUAUGGCCUUACUCCACAUUUGGAAGAAUUAAUAGCUCCUUACAAAUGGAGGAGGCCAGUGUUACGUAACCAGCAUCAACAUCUCCACCUCCACCCCUCUUAGGGCCAUGCUUU